This 253-nucleotide ribosomal RNA is filed under the name uncultured bacterium. Its description in RNAcentral is "partial 16S ribosomal RNA". It matches the Rfam family "Bacterial small subunit ribosomal RNA", at positions 524 to 776 of the family's 1533-position model. The record is from RNAcentral.
UACGGAGGGUGCAAGCGUUAUCCGGAUUCACUGGGUUUAAAGGGUGCGUAGGUGGCUUUGUAAGUCAGUGGUGAAAUGCCGGAGCUUAACUCCGGAACUGCCAUUGAUACUGCUUAGCUUGAAUCACGUCGAGGUGGAUGGAAUAUUACAUGUAGCGGUGAAAUGCUUAGAUAUGUAAUAGAACACCGAUUGCGUAGGCAGCUCACUAAACUGUAACUGACGCUGAGGCACGAAAGCGUGGGGAGCAAACAGG